Molecule: long non-coding RNA, 1026 nt
Organism: Malus domestica (apple)
Lineage: Eukaryota; Viridiplantae; Streptophyta; Magnoliopsida; Rosales; Rosaceae
Source: RefSeq, a predicted model, not a curated record
UAUAAUAUGUAUUUAUAAAUAAAGCUGUACUAAAUAUGUGUUAUAUAUUUUUCAUGACCAUGAAGCUUUAAUAAUUUUUGUGAGAGAAAUUUGGAGUUUAUAUGUUAAUUUGUACCUUAUGAAUUACAGUACUAGUACCACUUUACAGAAAGGAAAAUGAAGAAAUACUAUACUGCCUCUUUCAUGCCUAUAUAUAAAGCUGCAUCAUGAGGAUUUCGGAGCCAGCAGAUUGAAAAACAGUACUAAAAGCGAGAUCAAAAUAUCAAAGCGUAGGGACUUCUGUCGAAGGUGAGAUGGUGCCGAAGGCCAUGUAUAUUGGUAGCUGCGAUUACAAGCUUUAUAUAGCUAGUCAAUUCAGGCCAGCGAGCUUCAUCCCUCCUCGACUGAAGCCUCUCACGCUUUGAUUCCACGGAAAAGAAACCCAUGUUUAAUUUCUUCGCAAGAUUGGAGAAAGAUCAGAUCUGGCCACCUGCGACGUCCACUUCUACAUAGGCAACGGAGAAACGCACGGCCCGGUCGGUGGGGGUGUUGAUCAUUAGCUUGCUAGCUUGAAGGACUCAAGCACAGAUUUCUUCUGAGAAGGGUAUAUUACUUGUCCAGAUGAAGGCUGAAGGAUGAAGAGCUAAUUGAAGAUCUUCUGUUCACAAGGUUCACCGCAAGUUUUGUAAUUUAACAUGGAUUGCAGUACUAAUUAGGACUUAAAAAUCAUUUAAGCCUGCAACUGGUGUUUUUCUAUUAUCUUUUUCAAGCUUUGGAGAUGGCCUCAAAGCCUUUUCCCCUUAGUUUAAUUAUGGUUUGACUUCCACCAAAUUCAUCUAAUUUGGGAUUCGGACCGUUUAAAUUUGAUCUAACGGCUACAAAUAAGGAGAUCCUUUAAAAGUUAUAAUAACUGUAGCCGUUGGAUCAAAAUCCCACGUCCCGGAUCCCAAACUAGGUGGAUUUGGUGGAAAGGGAUCCAGAGAGGAUCCUUUUCCUGAACUUAGACCAUUUCCAAUGAAGAGGGGUAAAUGUUCAAAAGCCAAAAAA